UGAACUGAACAGACGGAGAAGAUGUGCU
RNAcentral lists this non-coding RNA (28 nucleotides) under Homo sapiens (human). Lineage: Eukaryota; Metazoa; Chordata; Mammalia; Primates; Hominidae. The record is from RNAcentral.